CAGUCGCCACGGGAAUACGAAGGGGGCUAGCGUUGCUCGGAAUCACUGGGCGUAAAGGGUGCGUAGGCGGGUCUUUAAGUCAGGGGUGAAAUCCUGGAGCUCAACUCCAGAACUGCCUUUGAUACUGAAGAUCUUGAGUUCGGGAGAGGUGAGUGGAACUGCGAGUGUAGAGGUGAAAUUCGUAGAUAUUCGCAAGAACACCAGUGGCGAAGGCGGCUCACUGGCCCGAUACUGACGCUGAGGCACGAAAGCGUGGGGAGCAAACAGGAUUAGAUACCCGCGUAGUCCCUGUCUCUUAUAC
This 301-nucleotide ribosomal RNA is filed under the name uncultured bacterium. Its description in RNAcentral is "partial 16S ribosomal RNA". It matches the Rfam family "Bacterial small subunit ribosomal RNA", at positions 509 to 807 of the family's 1533-position model. The record is from RNAcentral.